Molecule: small nucleolar RNA, 113 nt
Organism: Benincasa hispida (wax gourd)
Lineage: Eukaryota; Viridiplantae; Streptophyta; Magnoliopsida; Cucurbitales; Cucurbitaceae
Product: small nucleolar RNA snoR136
Source: RefSeq, a predicted model, not a curated record
CUAGCUUUACAUUCGAUGAAGCAGGAUCCAAUUGUGAGGCCUAGAGUUACGUUCUCCUCGCUAUCCAGGGUUUCAUUUAACAUGAUUCAUUUGGACGUCGGAGAACUACAUUU